CUAGCCCACAAAAUCCCCCAUCCUCCUGAAACCCCUCAUCUCCGGUCUUCUACGCACCAACACCGCCGAUGCAAUUAACGUGAACCAAGUACCUCUUCUCUCUCUAAUAAAGUUGGUUGCAAAUCUUUGUUUUCUAUAGCAUGAUUCUGAAUCGGAAGUGAAGAACCAGAGAGCAGUGCUUGUAAAAGAAAUGGGAAGGUUCACAAGAGCUACCAGUGAUGAUAUGCAAACUCGGUUACAUGAAGAUCUUAAUUUUGAUGGUAUAUUUGAGUGAUUUUUUUUUUCAUCUCCAUUAGCACCUAACGGUUACUAAAGUAAACAUUGGUUGCUUAUAAUAGUUUGCUCGGACUUCAAAUUCGGCUAUAUUGUUGAUUCUAUAAAUGAAGGGAAGACCCAUGAAAAUUACAAGCUCGUCAAGAUCAUUGAAGAAGUUUUUGAGAUUAAUUUUAAGUGGCACAUGGCACAGUGCAAACAACCAAAAGGCAGUUGGGAAUGUGGGUAUAUGGUAAUCAAACAAAUGAAAGAGUUUAUCGACUCUAUACAACAUGAUUUGGUUAACCGACUUUGGAAUGAAGAAAGCUAUUUUGAAGAAUCUCAAAUUGAGAAUUUAGUGGUAGAUUUAAUGUUGGGAUUUAUUAAAAAGAUGUUUUGAUCUUGUAAACAUUAGUUUGUGUUUCAUACUUUUGUAAUUCCGUAUACUUGAACGGGUUGUUGGGUUGUUUAAUACUAGUUAACUUUUGUCAUGAGCAUGUGCAUUUGUGUGUAAUUGGAAUUAUAUUGGGAAAUAUUACUAAAAAUUCUGGAAUUUUGCAAAAAUAUUAAAAAUUUAU
Long non-coding RNA from Helianthus annuus (common sunflower), 830 nucleotides. RefSeq lists it as uncharacterized. Lineage: Eukaryota; Viridiplantae; Streptophyta; Magnoliopsida; Asterales; Asteraceae. The transcript has 5 exons. The record is from RefSeq and is a predicted model, not a curated record.